CAGCCGCCGCGGGAAUACGAAGGGGGCUAGCGUUGUUCGGAAUUACUGGGCGUAAAGCGCACGUAGGCGGAUAUUUAAGUCAGGGGUGAAAUCCCAGAGCUCAACUCUGGAACUGCCUUUGAUACUGGGUAUCUUGAGUAUGGAAGAGGUGAGUGGAAUUCCGAGUGUAGAGGUGAAAUUCGUAGAUAUUCGGAGGAACACCAGUGGCGAAGGCGGCUCACUGGUCCAUUACUGACGCUGAGGUGCGAAAGCGUGGGGAGCAAACAGGAUUAGAUACCCGGGUAGUCCCUGUCUCUUAUAC
RNAcentral lists this ribosomal RNA (301 nucleotides) under uncultured bacterium. RNAcentral's name for it is "partial 16S ribosomal RNA". It matches the Rfam family "Bacterial small subunit ribosomal RNA", at positions 509 to 807 of the family's 1533-position model. The record is from RNAcentral.